UACGUAGGGUGCGAGCGUUGUCCGGAAUUAUUGGGCGUAAAGAGCUCGUAGGCGGUUUGUCGCGUCUGCUGUGAAAACCUAAGGCUCAACCUUGGCUUGCAGUGGGUACGGGCCAGACUAGAGUGCGGUAGGGGUGACUGGAAUUCCUGGUGUAGCGGUGGAAUGCGCAGAUAUCAGGAGGAACACCGAUGGCGAAGGCAGGUCACUGGGCCGCAACUGACGCUGAGGAGCGAAAGCAUGGGGAGCGAACAGGAUUAGG
RNAcentral lists this ribosomal RNA (259 nucleotides) under uncultured bacterium. RNAcentral describes it as "partial 16S ribosomal RNA". It matches the Rfam family "Bacterial small subunit ribosomal RNA", at positions 524 to 782 of the family's 1533-position model. The record is from RNAcentral.